UUGGUGCCUUCGGGAACUCUGAGACAGGUGCUGCAUGGCUGUCGUCAGCUCGUGUUGUGAAAUGUUGGGUUAAGUCCCGCAACGAGCGCAACCCUUAUCCUUUGUUGCCAGCGGUUCGGCCGGGAACUCAAAGGAGACUGCCAGUGAUAAACUGGAGGAAGGUGGGGAUGACGUCAAGUCAUCAUGGCCCUUACGAGUAGGGCUACACACGUGCUACAAUGGCGUAUACAAAGAGAAGCGACCUCGCGAGAGCAAGCGGACCUCAUAAAGUACGUCGUAGUCCGGAUUGGAGUCUGCAACUCGACUCCAUGAAGUCGGAAUCGCUAGUAAUCGUAGAUCAGAAUGCUACGGUGAAUACGUUCCCGGGCCUUGUACACACCGCCCGUCACACCAUGGGAGUGGGUUGCAAAAGAAGUAGGUAGCUUAACCUUCGGGAGGGCGCUUACCACUUUGUGAUUCAUGACUGGGGUGAAGUCGUAACAAGGUAACCGUAGGGGAACCUGCGGUUGGAUCACCUCCUUA
This 522-nucleotide ribosomal RNA is filed under the name Serratia marcescens. RNAcentral's name for it is "bacterial SSU rRNA". It matches the Rfam family "Bacterial small subunit ribosomal RNA", at positions 1011 to 1533 of the family's 1533-position model. The record is from RNAcentral. Lineage: Bacteria; Pseudomonadati; Pseudomonadota; Gammaproteobacteria; Enterobacterales; Yersiniaceae. RNAcentral also lists the same sequence under 30 other names.